This is a non-coding RNA of Myodes glareolus (Bank vole), 857 nucleotides long. The record is from RefSeq and is a predicted model, not a curated record. NCBI's taxonomy places the organism in Eukaryota, Metazoa, Chordata, Mammalia, Rodentia, Cricetidae.
GUACAUGCCAUAUAUUCUUCAUCCACAGUGGAGAAGCAAGAUUAUGUAACAGAAUAAAUAAACUCCAUUUGGUUUGGUUUGUGAAUUCAAGAAAUCAGUCAAAGGAGGCGUUGGAGCCUCCUCACUAGACAUAUGGGGAAGUUAUAUGGGAAAGCCAAAAUAUUUCUAAUUCAUCUGUGAAGCCUAGAUUCUCAAGUUUGGAUUCAUCUCUGUUCUUUUCCUUUCUUAGUCCUGCCCUAAAAUGUUGCUUUUAAAGAUCUCAGACAUCUUGAAUCAUGCAAGAUUUUACAGAAGUGCAAGGAACUAUAUCAAAUGCUCGCCCUAUGCCAGUACUUGCUGAUGGCCUCUAGGAUUAGACAACUCCCAAGGCCUUCUGAAUGAGAGACUGUAGACCUGAGAGAGACUGGACGUUGGUUUCCCAGAUGGUGCUUCAGAAAAGCAAGGGCUGUUUACAGAAAAAUCAAUGUGUAAAAUGAAUGGCAUCUUCAGAGCAAGCAGAAUUUCCAACCCAAGUAUUCUCUGGAGAAUGAGAAAUGCUCACCAAGUAUCUGUAGAAUGAAGAGACGGUUAUUAAAGGAAGACUGUGGCCACAGACACCCAGGAGCACAGUGAUCAGACAGGUAGAGGUGAUUACUGUUCUGCCCCAGUGAAUUUUUCCCUAUGCACAAGUAGAGGCAGCAAGGGAAAUAACCCACAGGUCAGUCAGACAAAGCAGGGCUUAGUAAUAUGGACAUGGCUGGAGCGUGAAGAUAAUGUGAUCAUUGUCAUUUUUCGUGCCGGUAAUGAGCAAGGAAGGGAAAACUGGACAAUCCAGUCAGAUCAUUAUUUUUAAAUAGACAGGUUCCAGAAGGUUCGAU